UCGACUGAAGGGGGCGCGCUGAACGUUUGUAUAACGGAAGUAGGAACACGUUGCACGGUCCUUGUUUCCGGUUGCGAAUCCAGCUCAUGAGACACAACUGUUAGCCGUUUUGGCUUCCAGCGGGCGUUCAAGCAAAGAAACUGGGCAUGGUGGCUACAUCUGAUUGAUUGAAAUGAAAACCACCCUACUGCAGGGUCACGGACGCUCAGAUGAAGUUCAACGGAGAAGGAGACCUGUUUUCCGUCGCGUUGGUCAAUCUGUCCGUACUACAGACCUCUCGUAAUGUGAAUCCACUGACUUACUACUGAAAUAGACUUCAGAAUAUUUGAAGUACGUCUUAGGAGAAAUGAGUGGUACACUUUAGUGUUACCUUUUAAUGUUGACAGAUUUCAGUCCAAUAAAGCUAAGUGACUUGACUGUCUGUGACUUUAAGGCUUUGAACAGAGAUGACUGCUUGAAUAAAAGAUUGCUGAGUUCAAA
This is a long non-coding RNA of Cynoglossus semilaevis (tongue sole), 480 nucleotides long. RefSeq lists it as uncharacterized. Lineage: Eukaryota; Metazoa; Chordata; Actinopteri; Pleuronectiformes; Cynoglossidae. The record is from RefSeq and is a predicted model, not a curated record. The transcript has 2 exons.